UACGUAGGGUGCGAGCGUUAAUCGGAAUUACUGGGCGUAAAGCGUGCGCAGGCGGUUCGUUGUGUCGGCGGUGAAAGCCCCGGGCUUAACCUGGGAAUGGCCGUUGAAACUGGCGAACUGGAGUGUGGCAGAGGGGGGUGGAAUUCCGCGUGUAGCAGUGAAAUGCGUAGAGAUGCGGAGGAACACCGAUGGCGAAGGCAGCCCCCUGGGGUAACACUGACGCUCAUGCACGAAAGCGUGGGGAGCAAACAGG
This 253-nucleotide ribosomal RNA is filed under the name uncultured bacterium. Its description in RNAcentral is "partial 16S ribosomal RNA". It matches the Rfam family "Bacterial small subunit ribosomal RNA", at positions 524 to 776 of the family's 1533-position model. The record is from RNAcentral.